UGGGUGGUAAUGCCGGAUGUGCCGGGCUCCUGCAUGGGGGUCCGGGAAAGCUCUGGCGGCGUGGGAUGGGGUCGCGUCCUAUCAGCUUGUUGGCGGGGUGAGGGCCCACCAAGGCUUCGACGGGUAGCCGGCCUGAGAGGGCGACCGGCCACAUUGGGACUGAGAUACGGCCCAGACUCCUACGGGAGGCAGCAGUGGGGAAUAUUGCACAAUGGGCGCAAGCCUGAUGCAGCGACGCCGCGUGCGGGAUGGAGGCCUUCGGGUUGUAAACCGCUUUUGUUU
This 282-nucleotide ribosomal RNA is filed under the name Bifidobacterium ruminantium. RNAcentral's name for it is "partial 16S ribosomal RNA". It matches the Rfam family "Bacterial small subunit ribosomal RNA", at positions 157 to 441 of the family's 1533-position model. The record is from RNAcentral. Lineage: Bacteria; Bacillati; Actinomycetota; Actinomycetes; Bifidobacteriales; Bifidobacteriaceae.